RNAcentral lists this ribosomal RNA (462 nucleotides) under uncultured bacterium. RNAcentral describes it as "partial 16S ribosomal RNA". It matches the Rfam family "Bacterial small subunit ribosomal RNA", at positions 30 to 506 of the family's 1533-position model. The record is from RNAcentral.
CGAACGCUGGCGGCGUGCUUAACACAUGCAAGUCGAACGGAAAGGCCCUGCUUGCAGGGUACUCGAGUGGCGAACGGGUGAGUAACACGUGGGUGAUCUGCCCUGCACUUCGGGAUAAGCCUGGGAAACUGGGUCUAAUACCGGAUAGGAGCCAUUUUUAGUGUGAUGGUUGGAAAGUUUUUUCGGUGUAGGAUGAGCUCGCGGCCUAUCAGCUUGUUGGUGGGGUAAUGGCCUACCAAGGCGGCGACGGGUAGCCGGCCUGAGAGGGUGGACGGCCACAUUGGGACUGAGAUACGGCCCAGACUCCUACGGGAGGCAGCAGUGGGGAAUAUUGCACAAUGGGCGCAAGCCUGAUGCAGCGACGCCGCGUGGGGGAUGACGGCCUUCGGGUUGUAAACUCCUUUCGCUAGGGACGAAGCUUUUUGGGACGGUACCUAGAUAAGAAGUACCGGCUAACUACGU